UACGGAGGGUGCAAGCGUUAUCCGGAUUUACUGGGUUUAAAGCGUGCGCAGGCGGUUGGCAAAGUCAGCUGUGAAAGCCCCGGGCUCAACCUGGGAAUUGCGGUUGAAACUAGUCGACUAGAAUCUGGCAGAGGGGGGUGGAAUUCCCGGUGUAGCGGUGAAAUGCGCAGAUAUCGGGAGGAACACCGGUGGCGAAGGCGGUUCUCUGGGCCUUACCUGACGCUGAGGAGCGAAAGCGUGGGGAGCGAACAGG
RNAcentral lists this ribosomal RNA (253 nucleotides) under uncultured bacterium. RNAcentral's name for it is "partial 16S ribosomal RNA". It matches the Rfam family "Bacterial small subunit ribosomal RNA", at positions 524 to 776 of the family's 1533-position model. The record is from RNAcentral.